UAAAAAAAAAAAAAAUGAAGUGCACUGAAUUUAGAAGUCAUGAAUGUAAUAAUAUUACAUAUAGUA
RNAcentral lists this transfer RNA (66 nucleotides) under Gryllus veletis. RNAcentral's name for it is "tRNA-Leu". The record is from RNAcentral. Lineage: Eukaryota; Metazoa; Arthropoda; Insecta; Orthoptera; Gryllidae.